UAUUUUAAUUUUGUCAUAUUUUUCUCCGUUAAUAGCCCUGUUCCGGCGUGUGUUGACAGCGACUGUCAUUGGAACACCGUGGAGUGGAGUGACCGCAGCUGCUUUACGAACUCAACUUAACUUAAACUCCAGACCUAGAAGGACCAAUAAAAGCUAUAGCAUAUCCUGUUUAACACAUCAAGGUUUCAUACUAUGAUGCACGUGGGUAAGUCAAAUUAUGCCAUUCGUUUUGCAGCUACCUAUGUGUUGAAGAUCUAGGUGCGUAUCUACCAAAUGUAUAUCAAUCUACUUACUACCGCAUAAGGUCUGUCGACUGUAGGUGCACAACAUUAAUUGUACUUAACUAGUAAUAAAACAAACAUUGUGGAAGAAUAAAAUAAAAAUGUAUUCUAUUACGUAAAAUAAAGGUAACAUUUCUUGUA
Molecule: long non-coding RNA, 422 nt
Organism: Photinus pyralis (common eastern firefly)
Lineage: Eukaryota; Metazoa; Arthropoda; Insecta; Coleoptera; Lampyridae
Exons: 2
Source: RefSeq, a predicted model, not a curated record